Etheostoma spectabile (orangethroat darter) is the source of this 96-nucleotide long non-coding RNA. RefSeq lists it as uncharacterized. The transcript has 3 exons. NCBI's taxonomy places the organism in Eukaryota, Metazoa, Chordata, Actinopteri, Perciformes, Percidae. The record is from RefSeq and is a predicted model, not a curated record.
GAAGAAACACAGUCAGAAUGAGUUUUCUAUCCAACAUGAGUCCUAACUGCUGUUAGACAUGAUGCAGAGUCCUCAGGUUUGUCAGAGAGACAGAGA